AGUGGAUGGGGAGCAACCUAGUUGUGCGUGUGUAAAGGUAGUGCCAAGAAAAGCGAUGAUCAUGUUGAAAAUCAAUUCCCGGUACCCGAAACCGACACAGGUGGACAAGUAGAGAAUACUAAGGGGCGCGAGGUAACUCUCUCCAAGGAACUCGGCAAAAUGACCCCGUAACUUAGGGAGAAGGGGUGCCACCGAGAGGUGGUCGCAGUGAAGAGGCCCAGGCGACUGUUUAGCAAAAACAUAGGUCUCUGCAAACUCGAAAGAGGAGGUAUAGGGGCUGACGCCUGCCCAGUGCCGGAAGGUUAAAGAAGUUGGUCAGUUUUAGGAUGAAGCUAGCGACUGAAGCCCCGGUGAACGGCGGCCGUAACUAUAACGGUCCUAAGGUAGCGAAAUUCCUUGUCGGGUAAGUUCCGACCCGCACGAAAGGCGUAACGAUCUGGGCGCUGUCUCGGAGAGAGGCUCGGCAAAAUAGGAUUGUCUGUGAAGAUACGGACUACCUGCAUUUGGACAGAAAGACCCUAUGAAGCUUUACUAUAGCUUGGAAUUGUGUUCGGGCUUCCUGUGCGCAGGAUAGGUGGGAGGCGUAGAAGGUAUUCUUGUGGGGAUACUGGAGCCAACGGUGAGAUACCACUCCCAGGAGGCUAGAAUUCUAACUUAAUUAAGGACAGUUUCAGGUGGGUAGUUUGACUGGGGCGGUCGCCUCCAAAAAGGUAACGGAGGCGUACAAAGGUUCCCUCAGACUGGUUGGAAAUCAGUCGAAGAGUGCAAAGGCAGAAGGGAGCUUGACUGCGAGAAGUACAGUUCGAGCAGGGUGGAAACACGGUCUUAGUGAUCCGACGGUGCUGUGUGGAAGGGCCGUCGCUCAACGGAUAAAAGUUACUCUAGGAUAACAGGCUGAUCUCCCCCAAGAGUUCACAUCGACGGGGAGGUUUGGCACCUCGAUGUCGGCUCAUCGCAACCUGGGGCGGAAGUACGUCCCAAGGGUUGGGCUGUUCGCCCAUUAAAGCGGUACGUGAGCUGGGUUCAGAACGUCGUGAGACAGUUCGGUCCAUAUCCGAUGUAGGCGUGAGAAUAUUGAGAGGAGCCUUCCUUAGUACGAGAGGACCGGGAAGGACGCACCGCUGGUGUACCUGUUAUGAUGCCAAUUGUAAACGCAGGGUAGCCAAGUGCGGAGAGGAUAACCGCUGAAAGCAUCUAAGUGGGAAGCCCACCUCAAGAUGGGUAUUCUGGUGUAAGGUCACGGGAAGACGACCCGUAAAUAGGCACGAGGUGGGAGUGCAGAGAUGUAUGAAGCCGAAGUGUACUAAUAGACCGUCGGCUUGAC
Molecule: ribosomal RNA, 1324 nt
Filed under: metagenome
Description: bacterial LSU rRNA
Rfam family: Bacterial large subunit ribosomal RNA
Source: RNAcentral